Molecule: long non-coding RNA, 712 nt
Filed under: Ananas comosus (pineapple)
Lineage: Eukaryota; Viridiplantae; Streptophyta; Magnoliopsida; Poales; Bromeliaceae
Description: long non-coding RNA (ACOM_LNC014291)
Source: RNAcentral
UAUUUAUAGGGUUAACUGCAUACACAUCUUUAUAAAUAUGAUGAAUUAUAAAUAUAUUGCUGCAAAGUUCAACUUUUAUAAGCUAUUUCUAUAAAAGUCCUAAUGUAUUCAGAUAUGUCUCUGUCGUUAGGGUCCGUUAGAGAAAUUUCUUUAACCACAGUUAAAAUACUUAACCAUAGUUAAUUAAAAAUGUGAACUAAUAAUUUUUUCUUUUUUUUUCUUCCUUUUCCUCUUCCUCUUCCUUUCCUGCUUCUUCUUCCUCUUCUUCUCCGUAUUCUCCUUUUCCUCCUCAUUUUCUCCUCCUUCUUCUUCUUCUUUUUCUUCGUCUUCAUUGUCGUCGAUGAUCCGAUCAUCGUUGCCGUCGUGGUGCCCGCGUGGGCCGUCAUCACGGGCGCCUCCGACAGCAUCAGCCGCGCCUUCGCCUUCCGCCUCUUCCUCGUCCUCGUUGGCCGCAAUCCUGACAAGCUCCGCAAGAUCGCCGCCGUCGUCGCCGUCCGCUCCCGCAGCCUGAAGAGGAAGAGGAAGAGGGCAAGGGCAAAAUUAUAAUUUCACAGCUUUAUUAUUAAAAAAUUAACAACGGAUCAUAACCAGAGAAUAUAUCUGAAUAUAUUAAAACUUUUAUAGAAAUAACUUAUAAAAAUUAAAUUUUAUAAAAAUAUAUUUAUAAUUCACUAUAUUUGUAGAAACGUAUAUGCAAUUAACUCAUAUUUAU